RNAcentral lists this ribosomal RNA (301 nucleotides) under uncultured bacterium. RNAcentral describes it as "partial 16S ribosomal RNA". It matches the Rfam family "Bacterial small subunit ribosomal RNA", at positions 509 to 807 of the family's 1533-position model. The record is from RNAcentral.
CAGUCGCCGCGGUAAAACGAAGGGUGCAAGCGUUAAUCGGAAUUACUGGGCGUAAAGCGUGCGUAGGCGGUGAGUUAAGUCUGCUGUGAAAUCCCCGGGCUCAACCUGGGAAUGGCAGUGGAUACUGGCUCGCUAGAGUGUGUCAGAGGAUGGUGGAAUUCCCGGUGUAGCGGUGAAAUGCGUAGAGAUCGGGAGGAACAUCAGUGGCGAAGGCGGCCAUCUGGGACAACACUGACGCUGAGGCACGAAAGCGUGGGGAGCAAACAGGAUUAGAUAACCCGGUAGUCCCUGUCUCUUAUAC